RNAcentral lists this ribosomal RNA (484 nucleotides) under uncultured bacterium. Its description in RNAcentral is "partial 16S ribosomal RNA". It matches the Rfam family "Bacterial small subunit ribosomal RNA", at positions 30 to 507 of the family's 1533-position model. The record is from RNAcentral.
AUUGAACGCUGGCGGCAGGCCUAACACAUGCAAGUCGAGCGGAUGAAGGGAGCUCGCUCCUGGAUUCAGCGGCGGACGGGUGAGUAAUGCCUAGGAAGCUGCCUGGUAGUGGGGGAUAACGUCCGGAAACGGGCGCUAAUACCGCAUACGUCCUGAGGGAGAAAGUGGGGGAUCUUCGGACCUCACGCGAUCAGAUGAGACUAGGUCGGAUUAGCUAGUUGGUGGGGUAAAGGCCUACCAAGGCGACGAUCCGUAACUGGUCUGAGAGGAUGAUCAGUCACACUGGAACUGAGACACGGUCCAGACUCCUACGGGAGGCAGCAGUGGGGAAUAUUGGACAAUGGGCGAAAGCCUGAUCCAGCCAUGCCGCGUGUGUGAAGAAGGUCUUCGGAUUGUAAAGCACUUUAAGUUGGGAGGAAGAGAAGUAAGUUAAUACCUUGCUGUUUUGACGUUACCAACAGAAUAAGCAACGGCUAACUUCGUG